AUAACUGUUAGCCAUGUUUACCUCUUGAAAGCAGAUCCAAGACACUACAGGGGGAUAGAGUCCACCUGCGGCCCCCUGUGAAAGUGUCUGGGAACAGAGGUGACCUUGUGUUUGAAGACAUCGUCCUGCCGCUCUUACAGAUGAAAGUCGGCUGACAGAUGGAAGGAAGUAAAUCUGGCUGGAUGGGCUCUGGAAUCCUCCAACGCUGAUGGGAUGUCUCCUAACGCUCAGUACCUGCGAUACAGUCGACCAAGAGAAACGGCUAGCAGACAACCAUCUGCGUCUGAUGACUCAUUCCGUGAAUCAGACAGGAUUAUGUUUAUUUCAAUUUAUUUCGAGAGCUUUUUGCGUUUCACGAUGUUGCAUUUUGGCUCAUUUCUAAAAUUUUCCUUGACAUGAUGUGUAGUUCACAUGUUUAUAAAAAAGGAUCAGAGUCAUAUUGAAAAAGAAAGAUAUUACAUCCAAAAUGGCAAAGGUUUGUAGACAAUAUUUGGAGAAAAAACCUUUUUUUGUAUUGGGAAUUAUUGCAUAACCAUUUUAUUUGCAACAAUCAACAAUAUAUACCUUUAUAAAACAUUUUGCAUGACGUAAACAACACUGGUCCAGACCCUGACAGCACACAUCUCAGAGAAAUACAUUGGAUGUAUGCAUUUACAUCUGUUAGACGUAUUUUUUUUACGCAAAUUUGUUUGCCCAUCUCCAAUACGUCUCUGAGAUGUCUCCUGUAAGAUGUCGUGAAAACAUUUAUAAAAUGUAUAUGAUUGAGAAUGUAUGUAAAACUUCCUUUUCCAUGACCUUUGUGAGAUGUUUUCACAGCAGAUGUUUUACAGAUCUUUAUCAGACAUCGGAACUAUUUCUUUUUUAUUUCACAUAUAUAUAUAUAAUAUAUAUUUGACAUUCCAUCCAGGGUGUAUCCUGCCUUGAUGCCCGAUGACUCCUGAGAUAGGCGCAGGCUCCCCGUGACCCGAGAAUAUCUCUUGUGUUCGACAGAAGAAUGAAUGUAUGCGUAUUUGGAACGAUAUGAAGGUCGCCCUGCCUUGCUGAGCGAGUAUUUGUGUCAAAAUUCAUCUGCGGUUGAUCAAAGCUGUCCUCAUCACCGGCGCUUCUCUCUCCGACGAGACUCCUCCUGACUUUGAUCUUUUAAUUUGCAGUCUUUUUUGUUUUCGUCUGUCAUUCCACGUUGUUGCUUUCAAAGAAAAGACACAUUAUUUAUCACCAGCAACCUUUCUGAUUUGUUUUGACUGGAGGAUAACGACGGCACGGUGGUGGUAAUUGAUUCACUUUUUGUUUGGUAACUCGAAUCUGCGUCACACAGAUCUUUUAUUGUUUGUUUUGGUAUUCACUCAGAGGGAGAAAUGAAGUACGUUUGACCCACACCCAAGAAAGACUAAGCAGUCUGGAGUAUUUAUUCUCAUAAUAUCAAAACACACAGUUCUCAUUUUCUCAAAACGUACAUAGAGGCCAAAAGACUG
Molecule: long non-coding RNA, 1472 nt
Organism: Triplophysa dalaica
Lineage: Eukaryota; Metazoa; Chordata; Actinopteri; Cypriniformes; Nemacheilidae
Exons: 4
Source: RefSeq, a predicted model, not a curated record